AGCAUUCUGGGGCUUUCAAGCGAUUUUGGUUUUAUCCCAGCGGAGUGAAAGAUGAAAAUUAACUCUAAGGACCACUUCCUGUAGGGAGAUAUAGAUGGGCAGAUCCUGCUGCUGAGACGCACUUCAGCCCCGUUCCAGAGGUGCUGUGCCACUGAGCUGGCUGGAUUUUUGGCUCUCCAAGUAAAAGAAAGGAAAUAAAUCAAGAGAAAACAACAAAGAGGGAUGAAGAGAGAGAGUCUAGAUUUGAACUGAUAUGAAACCCAGGACUUGGCGUGCAGCCCAGUAAAUAUUGGAAUGACAUUACCUGAGCUUAAAAAAAAAAAAAAAAAGACUAAUUGUUAAGCUUAAUUUGUAUCUGUAGUGGAACUGGGGAGCAGACACCAUGGAAAUAUCAUUAUUUCUUUUAAUCAUUUUCUUUGGUAACAGAAUCAGAAGGAAACAGCUCUGGAGAGAUUCUUGUUAUAUUUUCUCUGCCUCCGUCUUUUCUUUCUGAUUCCCUCCACUGUUCCCAGCUCUGUCAAGACUGUGACAAACUUAAUUACCAGCAAACAGUAGGAAAUCCAGAUGACAUAUCUCUCCUUUUUUUUUUUUUUUUUUUUCUUUUGACUUCAUAAAAGCUUUCUAGUCUUAAAUCUAAAGUGAGUAAGGACAGGGGCCAGAUGGUGCUGGUCUCCGAGAAUGGCAGCAUCUGAAUCCUUGAGAUCUUCUUCAGAGUCAGAAAGCCAAAGACGUGGCAGCCACAAACAAAGGGAGCGGGGUGAGCCCUGCCGGUGGGAGACACGUCCUUGCUUGCUGCUGCUGGUGAUAAAGCUCCUGUGGGAUGAACUGCACAACUUGAGGAUGGACUGGAAAUGAUAACCAGGGCCCCAAAGGUCUUUAAUCACGGGAGUGCCAAGCAGCUGAGGGGUCCCUGCAGGUCUCCGCAGGUCUCCGAGCUGCUCACAGCUCCUGUUAUCUCACCUGGCGUGAGGGGAGAGGAGCCCCCGGCAGCCUCAGCACUCGGUGGCAUUUGUGGCUAAGUGGCUUGUUUUCCUGCCUGCAGAGCGGCUUCAGAUUAAUGAUGUUUUCUGCAAAAUGUACGCCAUUUCCCCCCGUUUUGAACCCUCUCCUUGCCAGGAGAGUGCUCUCGUAAAUGAAGCGAUCCACCUCUAUGCUGGGUGGCUGUGCUAGCUCCCAGCCAACACAUAGCUGUGUCCCUAUCAUUAUUUUAAUCAUACAGCCUGGGCAGCCCACUGGCGUUCAGGACAUGCCGAGAUCUGCCACGCAGACACCUCCUUCCCCGUGCUCCCUCUGAUGGAGAUGGACAGCGGUGGGGCCGAGCUGUGCGGCUCUCCGCAGGUGCUUGCAAGCACUUAGCUGUGCCACGAGACAGCCUGCCAGUGCAGGGCUUUGCAAACAUGAACUAGGCACUGCAGGAUGCAUACAAAACCCAAAUUCUGAACAACUGCACUCCCUCCUACAAUAUUUUCCCCAAGCUGACUAUCUCCAGAGCCCCAGCCUUGCAGAGCAGCCCCUGCCUUUGUGACUUACGGGCCAGCUUCUUUCACCUCCAGCAAAUAUGUUUUCUGCCAGUGUUUGUUUUUCUGGGCACUGCUGCAGCUCGGAGCAUGGCUAGGGCCUCGUGCCAGCCGUGUUUCAGUAAAUCAUUACACGUAGCAGGAUGAGGCAAAGAGCUAGGACAAAAAGACCAUGGCCAAUUUUGGCUUUUGGCUGUUGAUCUCAGAACCCUCUCAAAGCAUUAAAAAUCUCUUUGGCUGAAAUCUUGAACUCCUGUAAGAUGAAGAGGCAGCCCAAGGGUGAACACUUAGCAGGACUUGGCAAGCGUCCCACUGCCCAUUGCUCUGGGCACCGGAACAACUGGAGAAAUAAAUGGCAGAGAUGUUUGGCACGGCUGGGGCAUGUGCCACACUUCCAGACAUCUUAAAACAAAACAAAACAACACAUUUUGUUACUUAUAAUUAAUGAAAUGAGGCAGUAGAUGUGCAAAAGAAGAAAACAAAUCUAAAAGUCUCUCCUAAGCAAACAAGUUACAUCUCACAAUUUUAUAAUUUAUUUAUUUAUUUUUUUAAUCUCACCAGACUCCACUCUGGCUGGCUAUGAUUUUAUCCUGCUCCCUCUCUGUCUGGUCCUG
Molecule: long non-coding RNA, 2131 nt
Filed under: Cairina moschata (Muscovy duck)
Lineage: Eukaryota; Metazoa; Chordata; Aves; Anseriformes; Anatidae
Description: domestica (muscovy Duck (domestic type)) lncRNA (ENSCMMG00000017304.1)
Source: RNAcentral